UGGACGGAUCUACAGGACAGUACUCUGUUCACACAGUGCUGAGAUGUGUCUUAUUUUAUUGUAGGUGAAGGAGGCCAUGCAGAGAAUCCACGACCGAGGAAACAUUGGGAAGCUGAUCCUGGAUGUGGAAAAGUCUCCCACUCCUUUGAUGGCCAGUGACAGCACGGAGACUAGCGAGGCAGGCGAGGAAGAGGAGGAGCACGAGGGCGACAACGACAACAAGGAGCGGAUGCCCUUCAUCCAGUAGGCCUUCCUGCAUCAGUCCAGGCAUGGCCGCUCACCAGGAACAAGAGACUGUCACUGGACCGGGGCUGUCCACGUGACCCCACGCUGUUGUGAAAAGUGUGUGAAUGUGUGUCCGUCGUCCGUCUGACCUGUGCUGUGUUUGAAAGCUGAAAACACUUAUCGCCAGUUGUCCGACUCAAGUGCCAUUCCUAGCGCAGUAUUGAAAUAUUAGUGUUUCUUUUCUUUCAGACGUAUCGUUUGAGGAUUUACGGUCUUGUUUGCAACUUUUUGUAUGUUGUACUGCAGGAGAGUGGGAGGAACGGAGAUGAAGCGAGCGAGAGAAUGUCUGUUAGGUGUUACGUAAAUGUUUUUAGCGAGGAAAGGAAAGCAGAAAUUGGCCAUAUACAGUAUGUGUUUUUCGGUGAUCAGAAAAUAGCUAGGUUUGGACCUUCUGACAGGAUUUUAAGCUGGUAUUUUACAAGCUAUAUAGUCUAUCAAAUAGGGCCAAUAGGGCCAAUAAGGUUGCAAUGGUACACAAAAGUCACAGGAAGGUAAACACCAUGGUUAUGACCUCACAGUGUGAUGUGUGUUAGGUACAAUGAUAAAAUAGGGAAAAAAAACAACAGAAAUACAAAUACUGCCCAGGUCAUUUUCAUUUAAUUUGAACAUGCAGUAGAGCAAGUAAUUUUUUUCCAAUCUAGUGAUGAAUAGCACCCCCUUGAGGUAGUUAUUACAGCCUGUAGUGUUUUACUUAAACAGUAGUUAAGUCUAGAUGUUAGAUGUUCCUCAUCCAACUGAAUAUCAGUUUAAUAAUUGUUUAUAUUCAGUCAAUUCAACUCUCUAGACACGACAGCAAAACGGAGAGAGAUGAGAGAUAAGUAAGAUGGGGGACAAACAAGACUACAGUUAGCAUCUCCUAAUGACUUCCAAACAACAAAUCCAAUGAUCUUCAGUUUAAGGUUUCCAUGUAGCAAACAAACUUAAAAAUGACCCUUUUUAUUCUCCAUGCACAGAAAAUACACAUGCAGUUACACCCUUAGUGGCCACUCAAUGUUCAGUUUUAGAAAUCUUAAUAUACUAUUCUUUAGCCUGCUUUAGUCCAUUAAGAACAGUCAUGUUUUCUAUGUCACUUUGGCAUGUAACAAGCAGGAGUAGGAGCACAGCAAUGUAUUUUGCCUUUCCAUUUUUGUAACUAAUUAAUAUUUAAUGCGAGGCAUUGCUGUAAACUCUUCUGAAACACUGCCAAUUCUAAAAAAAAAAAAACCCUGGGGAAGUCAAGCUUAUCAUUUUGAGCAGGUGUGAGGAAGUAUUGUGUGGUUACGUUGUAGGAGCUGUUUUGAGUAACUGACCUACUGACAAACUACAGUUGCCUGUGUAUUUACUCAGUCAGUGACCAUCCAUACAUACUGUAGUCCUUCUGUUUCCCUGGAUCAGAUACAGCUGUGCUGCUGGAGUUAUUAAACACUGUGUUUAAUCACUCACUGUUCUCCACUCUAUUACACACUCCUAACUAACUGCUUCUACUUAUAGAUGUGAAGACAGAUAUAGAAGUUCAUCUCUUGCUGCACAAUUUGUGUUGUUCAUCUUCUAGUCCUUCAUCAUUGCUCACAGGACGCUGGUUGGUGGUUUCACAAUCACUUCAAUACACUCUAAUUAACUCUGUGUACAUCUAAACAAAUACAUUGAAUUACACAGAAUUCCUCUUUAACUACAUGCAUUACUCAUACUCAUAUUAUGAAAUACCUGUAACACAUGACAGUGCAGUUCAUUGUUUGGGAAUACCAGAUUAUGUCCUGGGUUUGAAGGAUACAUAAAUACUAAGCUAUUUUCCUGCUUAUUAAUUUUAAUAAGUUCAUGUUUAAACUGUGUUAUCACUUCUUAGGAUCUGCUGAUGUUCUUAUGCUGACAUUUAUUAAUAGGAAAAAGACUGAGCUGCUAGAACUAACAUCAGAUUCAGUGAUAUACCACAAACAGUAAUGCUUACUUUUGUCUUUUAGAGAAAGCUGUUUCGGAUACACUGCAAUGUCUGGAAUAUGUGAUGUGAUGUGUGUAUUUUUUUUUUCUUUUAAUCUGGUGUGUCGAUGAUCCUACUGUGUGAGAAAGCUCAUCAACUUGCCUUAAAAAGUAAACGACAAAACACAUGCUUAGUCAAACAUCACUGAGUGCGUUUACAUGCACAUUUAUAAUCUAGAUUAUUGCAGUUAUCUGAUCAUUUAAGUGGUCAUGUAAACAGCAUACUCUGAUUCCUACUGAUUCCAGUUGCAGUUAGACCUGAUCUGAAGUCUGAUUAAGAAUUCUGAUUAAAUAACUUGCCAUCAGCAGCCAGAGCCCUGAGAGAGCACAAUUGGCCUUACUCUUUCUGGGUGGGUAGAUGGCGCUCUUUCCCUCAUCACUCCUAGGGUGAUGUAGAUCAGCACAAUGCGUCUGUGAGCUGAUGUAUCAGAACUGAGUGGCUGAACUUUUCUCCGAGCACGCUGUGAUGCUACUCGGCAAUGCUGCAUAAUGAGUGGGUUGGGGAAUUAGAUGUGUAAAUUGGGGAGAAAAUGGAAAAAAAUGUGAAAUAAAAUUAAGAAUUCUGAUAAAGAGAGCUGGAUUUUUGCUUAGUAAUGGUAUUUCAGUGCAUGCAUACUCUUAACUGGAGUAUUCUCUGGUGAAAACAGGCCCUGGCAGUAUAACACAACACUUUUGGAGUGACACGGUAACUGUUGGAUUUCUAUCAUCUUCAUCUUAUUAUUCAGCUGAUAUAUGGACAUAUUGAGGCUCGAUGGGUUAAAAGGCUGAAUUUGUUAUAUUUGGGUCUUAUUGAAUGAAUGAAUUACCCAUGUUUAAGUAAUCGCAUUGAUCAGAUGAUCAGACUACUGACUAACUCUGAUAUUCUGCAGUAAUCAGAUUAUAAAGUGCAUGUAAAUAUAUCAGACACUACAGGUAGAGAAGUGUGUAAUGUUUAGGUGUAUUAUGUGCUGUUUAGAGCUUUUGCUGUGUUGUGUGUAGAAAUCCAGUUCUGUUACAUGAAUAAAUAGACCUGCAGAGCA
Long non-coding RNA from Astyanax mexicanus (Mexican tetra), 3257 nucleotides. RefSeq lists it as uncharacterized. The record is from RefSeq and is a predicted model, not a curated record. The transcript has 2 exons. NCBI's taxonomy places the organism in Eukaryota, Metazoa, Chordata, Actinopteri, Characiformes, Acestrorhamphidae.